CCUACGGGUGGCAGCAGGGGGGAAUAUUGCACAAUGGGGGAAACCCUGAUGCAGCGACGCCGCGUGAGUGAAGAAGUAUUUCGGUAUGUAAAGCUCUAUCAGCAGGGAAGAAAAUGACGGUACCUGAUGAAGAAGCCCCGGCUAACUACGUGCCAGCAGCCGCGGUAAUACGUAGGGGGCAAGCGUUAUCCGGAUUUACUGGGUGUAAAGGGAGCGUAGACGGCAGCUCAAGUCUGGAGUGAAAUGCCGGGGCUUAACCCCGGAACUGCUUUGGAAACUGUGCAGCUAGAGUGCAGGAGAGGUAAGUGGAAUUCCUAGUGUAGCGGUGAAAGGCGUAGAUAUUAGGAGGAACACCAGUGGCGAAGGCGGCUUUCUGGACUGUAAAUGACGUUGAGGCUCGAAAGCGUGGGGAGCAAACAGGAUUAGAUACCCGGGUAGUC
RNAcentral lists this ribosomal RNA (440 nucleotides) under uncultured bacterium. RNAcentral's name for it is "partial 16S ribosomal RNA". It matches the Rfam family "Bacterial small subunit ribosomal RNA", at positions 338 to 795 of the family's 1533-position model. The record is from RNAcentral.